Long non-coding RNA from Papaver somniferum (opium poppy), 1273 nucleotides. RefSeq lists it as uncharacterized. Lineage: Eukaryota; Viridiplantae; Streptophyta; Magnoliopsida; Ranunculales; Papaveraceae. The transcript is spliced from 7 exons. The record is from RefSeq and is a predicted model, not a curated record.
CUCUACCCGCAAUAUAAUUAUGAAACUGAAGAAGAAGAAUAUGUUGGUAAUUGCUGUUAAAGAAUAGGAGAUGGAGAUAAAGCACGACUCUGAGAUAUUCAAUGAUUUGGUACCUCAAUAUUUUAAAUAAUUAACCGAAACCCCAUUCCAAAUUUUUUUCAACAUUUUUUCCAAAACCUAUUUUUUUUCUUCUUUCUUCCCCGCUCUUUUAUUUUACACACGGUUCCUUCUCCAUUCGGAGGAUCGAAAGUGCAUCAUCGAGAUCAGGGUCUAUCAGUGCGAGAUUUUUAACAGUACCACUUAUAUCAUGGUGAGGGUUGGUAUCUGUUCUGCUUUGGAUUGGUUUUAUUCAUCAAUGUUGUUUGUUACCUGAUAGAUGUUUUCUCUUCUAAUGCGUCCCUUUCUUUGUGUUCAAACCAACAUCAUCAUCUUGGGGAAUCUGAUCAUAACAAUACUAUCGAUUUUACCUACAGAUUGACAAGUAUAUAAAGUUACGGCUUAUGGUGCAAAAUAGGGAGCCUAGAGUGUUAUUAUGGCUUGGAUUCACCAUUCAAGAUGAAGCACCUGCAAAUUAAGAGUAAGUUCUUGAAGAUGCACCAAUAGAAAGUAUGGGAUGUGAGAAAGCUGAUUUCUUCCACCACCAGGGAUCGUGAUUUAUCAGUGUUGCUUGGAAGUGAUUUAUCAUAGUAUUUCUAAGCUCUUUGCCACAAAAACAUGAUAAAGAUUGCAGGGGCUUUGCGGGUUCAAUCUCUCUAGAAUUGCUUCAUCCCCAAGUGUACCCCUUUGAUUGAAGUCGCAUUCGAGGUUGAUGCCCAUGGUACUUCUAAUGUAAGGGACGACUACAACGCAGGUAGAAACUAAGAGAGAUGGGUAGCCAGAUGAGGGGUCAAACCCAUAGAGUUGCCACCACCUUCACCAACAUGUUGAUUUGUAACCACUGCAAGUGGGGUGGUGGAGUUCUGAAAUAGUUAAAAGGUUUCAAAUCGUAUAGGAAAGAGUUCAUUAGCUGAGGGUUAACUCCCAAAAAAACUAAUUGGAGCCCUUUAAGACAUGCAUAAUAUAUGUGUCAUUACUGCAAUUAUCUAUGGCUUGGUUGGCUGUCUUUAUGAUCCAUCUCAUAUCUUCUAAUGUUAUUAGUGUGAGAUCAUGCUUGACCAUUCUUCUUUUUGACUGGAAGUAUGGGGACAUGCGUACAAGAUUUAGGCUUAUGGCGUAAUAUCUCUUUGUUGCACUUCACAUUGAGAAGAUGAAGGUUAGCGCCUAAUGCUACGAA